This 8190-nucleotide long non-coding RNA is filed under the name Olea europaea subsp. europaea. Lineage: Eukaryota; Viridiplantae; Streptophyta; Magnoliopsida; Lamiales; Oleaceae. The record is from RNAcentral.
AAAAUUUCCAAAAUUCAAUCAAAAGCUCCCAAAAUUCCCAAAAUCAAAAAUUUCCCAAAAUCUGCUCGAUGCCUCUGCAACUCUGCUCGUCAGUCCCCACUCCAGUCCGGUAGUCAUCGCCACUCGCCUGUCAUCUUCUUCAGCCUUCAGGUUAGUGGCCACUUGCUAGUACGACUUCUGCCGACUACAGCUCUUCUUCAACUCUUCUGCUCAUGACUGCUGGAGAAUGGUUCGAUUUGGAGAGCGAAGUCGUUUGCUGCUUCUGGAAUGGUGGAACCCAAGUUGGUGAAGUGGUUUUCAACACUUCAUUAACCGAGUAAAAAUUAAGAAUUUACUAUGAAUUUAUUUCCAUUGUUUUUGUGAUUUGUGAAUAAUGUUGGCUGAUAAAGAAUUUUUAUCCUCCACUUGCAAGUGGGUUUGUUAGAAAUGUGUGGAAUCCAUUUAUGUUCCAACAGAUUCAUUUAUCAUUUCUAGUCCACAGAUUGAAAUUGGAAAGAAGGUGGGAUCAAGCUCAUGGUCUCAAGGUGAUUGAUAGAAGUCCCGAGAGACUUCUUGCAUUUGAUUCUUCCGUUUUUUGUGUAAUGGUCAGGUUAUCUUGGGUGUGUAAUUGAUAUCUGAAUGGAUCACUUUGUGCAGAAUGGCUCAAUAAGGCUAUUAUGGGUGCAGGUGUCUUAACUAUAAUGGGCACGAAAAUUUUUAGUGUUUUUGAUUUUGAUUCCUCGAUCUACUUUUAUACUUCAUUACUUCAUUUCUUGAGAUUUCUGGAUUAUGGUUUCUAGCCUCAGUGGGUUAACAUGUUUACCACAUUGGAAAUCUUAUUUAAGAAGCCAAUUUUGUGUUUAUGGAAGCCGUUAGGCCCGUUACUUAUAUUUGUGUUCCUGUUGGCAUCUAUCUACUAUUGCAAUGGAGUUGAAAUUUACUGAAAUCUGCGGAAGUCUUUUGGCUGGGAAUAGUGAAGAAAGUUCACCAAUUGAAAACUAUGCAUUUUAAUAAUAUGUAUGUCAGAAGGUGGUUUUGUUGAAAGGCUUGAAAGUGGAGUAAAUUUCGUCUUCAUGAAUAAAAUUAAUUCAAUUACUCUCCCAUUGUAAACUAUUUCUACCUAGUGAUAAAACCCAUGGGCGAAGCCGCGAAAUCACUAAAGCGUAAAGGCAGACAUAAAGUUUUCCUUCAAGUGUAUAAAAUUUAAAAUAUCUUUAAAAGAUAUGUUUAGGGGGCACAAAUUAAAAUUGGCUUUGUUCAGUAAACUAAAAAUAAGAAAAAUAAGGAAAACUCAAAACCAGCUGUUAUUUAUUUCCCCCAAUUUCCUUUUACUCUUUAACGUAUAUUGCAUGAACAUUAUUUAUUAUCUUUAAAUGUAAUAUGCUGCAUGGUAGAGUUUAUAUAUGUAAAUAGAGAGUUUGUCCCCAACUUUUGAAAUAGAACAUUUUGGCCAUCAAUAUUCCAUUAAUAUUGCAAAAUUAUUUUUAGUUGAUAGAAACGGUGCUUAACCCGAAAUGGCUCUGCCACCAUAUUUCAUUAAACAAAUUAACUUUUUAGCACGUUUGUAAGGAUUGUAAUUUUGAAUGUGAUGGUUAUAAGAGUCUUAUGUAUUCAAAAGUCAAAUAUUAACAAAUUAUCGAGAACAACUAACUAAAAUCGAACAAUAAAAUCAAGGUUUGCUGCUCUUAAAUAUUCUUAAUUCCUUCACCACUAGAUCUUAGGCUUGGCAAUCUUAGACAUCAUAUAUAAUUUUAUAUAAAUUUUUGUUUCAGGCUUGUGAGUUGUGACGAGAUCAUACUCAACAGUGUAAUUCCACAAUUAUCGUCAAAAUUUCACUUCUCAGGUAAGCCAUGACUUGCCCUAACUUGUUAUUAAAGAGAUUGAAAAUGUUUGAAGCCUUGUCGACUUAUAUAAUUGCAGCCUGGUCGGCUUAUAUGAUUGGUUAUUGUGAGAUGAACAAUUGCACAGGUGCACAUAGUAAUUGUAUUGGAAAUUGUAAUUGUGUGAUGAUUGAGAUAUUUUGUAAUUGUUUUUUAGGUUAAUCAUUGGACAUUAGAUACAGACUCAUACACUAUGCCUCCUAAAUAUGAGUCUGGUGCUCAAAAGAGGAAAAGGAACCGAAAUGAAAUUGCAUUGAUUCAAAGUCAAGUAGGGGAUAUUAACAAGUACUUCAAAAGCAACAAUGUGAAUGCGUUGAAUGAUAAUGAAGUAGAGAUUCAACCUGCCCAUGUUAAUGAAGUAGAUAGUACGGAUGAAGAAGUGAGACAACCUGACUAUGUUAAUGAAGUAGAUGAUAAAGAAGAAGAAGUGGUGAAACCCGCCUCUAAUAAUGAAGAAGAUGAUAAGGAAGAAGAGGGUUCCUUUUCUCUAAAUUUGGAUGAUCCCGGGAAUUGGAAAAUCAUUGAUCAGACAACAAGGGAUUACUUAGUUGAAAGGGGUCCAAAAAGAGUUGAUAACAUUUCAUUUCCAAAAGAUUGAACAAAUAGACAUUUCGAUUCUUCACAAUAUAAGCGACUGCUACGAAAUGGGCAAACAAUUGAUAGAAGAUGGCUAGUAUAUUCAAUAUCUAUGGACAGGAUCUUCUGCUUUUGUUGCAAGUUAUUUAAAACACCUAAAAAUGUGACCAAAGUUAGCCAACUAGGUAAUGAUGGAUUCAAAGAUUGGCAUAAUUUGCAUCGGUCUAUGAAAAGUCAUGAAGGAAAUGAAGACCAUUUAUGUUGCAUGAUUGGCUGGAUUGAAUUGGAAAAUAGGCUUCGAACAAAAAUUACAAUUGAUAAAAGCGUUGAAUUGUUGAUCGAUGCAGAAAGAGAACAUUGGAGGCAUGUAUUAACAAGGAUAAUCGCUAUUGUUAAAAGACUUGCCAAAAAUACCUUGCCAUUUCGAGAAGAUAGUGAGAGGCUAAAUGUUGAGAAUAAUGGCCUAUUUUUACAAAUGGUGGAAAUGGUUAGUGAGUUUGAUCCAGUAAUGAAAGAGUACCUUCGGCAGGCUAAUGCGAGAGAGAUUCAAUACACGUAUCUUGGCAAAAAAAUCCAAAAUGAGUUGAUACAACUGUUGGCUAAUGAGGUGAGAAAUACAAUUGUUAAGAAAGUUAACAUGCAAAAUAUUUCACAGUUAUACUUGAUUGAACUCCAGAUGCAAGUCGUGAGGAGCAGAUGUCUUUAAUAGUACGAUUUGUAGAUGAUUCAGCAAACUUACCUACAGUUGAGGAACAUUAGCUUGAAUUUUUGAAGGUAGAUGACACAACAGGACUUGGACUUACAACUGAGCUUCAAAAGGCUUUGAUCAAAUUUGAUCUGGAUAUUGAUGACAUUAGAGGGCAAGGGUAUGAUAAUGGAUCUAACAUGAGCGGGAAGCACAAAGGUGUACAAAAAAGAGUACAUGAAAUAAAUCCCCGAGCUUUCUAUACUCCAUGUAGUGCUCAUAGUCUAAAUCUAGCAUUAUGUGAUAUGGUGAAUUGUUGUUCCAAAGCUGUAUCCUUCUUCGGAGUGAUACAACACAUCUACACUUUAUUUUCCUCUUUUACCAAGUGAUGAAAAAUUUUCAAAGAUAAUGUAAAAAGGGUUGACAGUGAAGCCAUUGUUACAAACACGUUGGGAAAGUCAUGUUGAGAGUGUAAAACCUAUAAUGGAGCAAACUGCACAAAUAAGAGAAGCCUUACUUGAUUUGGCAGAAUCUAACGAAGAUCCUAAAGUGAAGAGUGAAGCCGAGUCGUUAGCAACACAUGAACUUCAGAAUUUUGAGUUUUUGCUUGGCAUAGUAAUCUGGUACAGGUUGUUGCAUGCAGUCAAUAUUGUGAGUAAAUUUCUUCAAACUGAAUCCAUGGAUAUUGAUCGUGCUAUCGAUCUAUUGUAAGGACUUGUUUUAUUUUUUGAAGAUUAUAGAGAAAUCGAAUUUGCUGUUGCUAUGGAUGAAGCAACAAAAAAGGCAAACAAAAUGGGAAUUGAAGCUGUAUUUACAGAAAAAAGCAUAAUUCGAAGGAAAAAACAAUUUGAUGAAAGUGGUAAUGAUGAGGUAAAACAAUCAGCAAAAGAAUCUUUUAGAGUUGAGUACUUUGUUUUUAUAAUUGAUCAAGCUCUAUCUUCUCUGAGAGGUCGAUUUGAACAAUUCAAACAAUAUGAUGACAUAUUUGGAUUUUUGUUUAAUUUGAAAAAGUUAAGGGAUGCAACUUUAUCAAGUUUGUUGAACUCUUGUAUGAAUCUUGAGAAAUAUCUUGAAGAUGAUGGGCAUUCGGACAUCAGUGGAGAUGAUUUAUGUUUGGAAUUACAAGUCUUGAAGAUUUAUUUACCAAAUGAACCAACAAGAGCAAUUGAACUGCUGCAAUAUUUGAAGACUCACAAUAUUUGUUACCCAAAUGCUUAUAUUGCUUACAAAAUUUUGUUAACCAUACUGGUUACAAUUGCACCUGCGGCAAGAAGUUUCUCAAAAUUAAAGUUGAUCAAGACCCAUCUUCGAUCAACUAUGUCACAAGAAAGGUUAAACGGGUUGACUAUGUUAUCAAUAGAAAAAGAAAUGGUUGGACAGCUAAAUUAUUCAGAUUUGAUUGAUGUUUUUGUCUCUAAAACGGCAAGACGAAUAGUAAUCACAGGAUCGGCUCUGCCGGCCACACUAUGUGAAUCGUCGACACCACCAUAACGAAGUUACUCAAUCGAGCCCCCCAAAAGUUACAUUAUCAUUACACUUCACUGUUGUUCGUGUUGUAAAUUUCAAUAGAGGAUUUUAUUACCCCCCAUCAUCAUACCCUUUUUUGAUUCAUUCAUUUGAUCAACUUUACUCUCUCUGCUUUAUUUUUUAUUUUAUUUUUUUAAACACAUUUCGUUUGAUAGCUUAUGACUGAUUUGCUGGAUUGAUGAUAUGAAUUAUUUAGUACAUGUGGAAGUGUAUUAUUGAGUGAGCAUAAAUCUAUUGGUUAUUAAGGUUUCUGGGGUUGAUGCUGGGAUUCCGGCUAUGUCCUUUUAGCAUUUAAUAAUUUAACAUUAUUUUAAUUAUAAUAUUUUUUUUUAAUUAACAUUAUUUUAAAUAAAAUUUGCUCAUUAAAACUCAAAAGUAACAAAUUUGGUAGAACUAGUUGUGAUUUUUAUUAUAUGUAACUUUUUUUGUGCGUUCAUUAUAUAUAUAUUUUUAAUUGUGGUAUUCGGUUUAAUAUUUUUUAAAUUUAUCUAUAAAUGCAAUAUUUUAGUUCAUUAAAUAUAGUAUUUAAUUUAAUAAUUUUUGUAAUAAUAUAAUUUUUAAUUAAAUAAUUUCUUAAAUAAAUUAAUUAUUGAGAAAUAAAUGAUAAGGAAAUAAAGAUAUAACCAUUUAGAAGUAUUUAUUUGGUAUAAAAUUUGAUGUAACCAUUUAGAAGUCACCUCAAAUUGCUGAAAAAGGUACACCAAUUUGUUGUAAAAGUUACUCCAAAUCGGUGUGAACCAUUGAAGAUUCCCUAAGGUUAUUGAUCUGAGCUCUUUGAAGGUUGCUUUGGAGUCUCUUGUGAAGGAUUUGAAGAAAACUUUUGAAGAUUCUUAAAUGCUUAUUUGGUUAAGCUUUUAACUAGCUUACAACAAUUUUUAACUAGCUUAUAAGCACUUAAAGCUUUGUCAAACAUACAUUUAAGUCCGUUUUUGUUUUAGGGUUGGUUUGAUAUUGCUAUGAUUUUAGAAGCAUCAAUUUUAGCAAUGCUGAAGAAAGAAUUCGUUGUAGGAAAAUUAGUCAAGUGUUUGGUGAACUUUUGUUUUAAUAAUAUUGUAUCUUUUAGAAUAAGCAUUUAUAGUGUUUGGUAAAUAAAAGUGAUUUAUUUUUGUGUCCAUAUACAAUUAGUAAAAUAGACAUUGAUUAUAACGAUGUCCAUUUUAUUAUUGUAAUUGGUAUAUUGAAAAAUUUAUUUUUACUUUUAUAAAACUAUGUAAUGUUAUUUCAUAUUUUUUAAGACAAUAAAUCCACUAUAGUUAAUUUAAAAUUAAAAAAAAAUUCAUAUCUAUUUAAUAUUAAAAUUUAUAAAAUUACAAAAUAAAGGUAUAAUCCAUAGAGUAUUAAAAUAUUCGAAUAAAUUUAAAUAAUGGAAGGAUGUGUUAUUUUUGAAAUAUCAGGUUUUAAUAAAGGUAGGAAAGAAAAUGAAUUAGUUCAAUUAAUUAGGAUUUAAAUGGUAUUAUAAUUAUGAACAAUUGGAGAAGCAAAAAAGCAGAAUCUGAUAAGUGAUUGUUUUGUUGCUUCUUAAAAUUUGCUGCAGAGUGCAAAUUCUUUACUAAUCAAUUUUAUCUACAAUUUAAAAUCUAGGUCUGCCUUGCAUCAAUCAACAAAAUUAUGUAAUUGAAGAAUUUAAUUGAUACUUAUUGUUGAUGUUGAUUUCCUAAUACACAUACUUUAAAUUUAACCAUAUUUUUUUGGUUUCAUCAUUGUCCAUGUCUCCCAGAGAGAUUGGUGUUGGGAAUCUACUUAAAAUGCGCAACGAAAAUUAAAAUAAUUUUCGAUUUUCAUCAGGAUUCAUCUUUGUGUUUAGAUAGAAAUUAUGAUAAAAGUCAUACAUUUUUCUAGAUUUGCAAACCCCUUUACUUUUUCUUUGUACCAAUGAUCUUGAUUCGCCACCCACAGUUGUCCAAUUGUCCAGCCUCCAACGAUGAUCCACACAGAGAAUAGAUUGCAGUUACCAAGGUUUUCUCCUAUUAUGCUAGCAAGAAAUUAUGAGAAAACUAUAUGGAUUGAAAACCCUAAUCAUGAAUUUAUAUAAGGGCAAAUUAGGCCAUUACGACCUAGAUAAUAUAAAAUUGUUUAAUGCGCUCAACCCUUUUAACUUUUUCUACAUAUGUAUUAAUUACGAUAAAAUAAAGAAAGAUAUUCAGAACCUUCUUUCUUUCAAGCUUUGCUCUCACUAUUCCAAUUUCUCAUUUCUCAUAGCCUUCCCCUUCCUCGAACUGCCCUUCGCAGUUUAGGCCCAAUCUUGUUGCCAUAUUGUUGCCCCUCUCCGUUCUCUCCUACUUGGAUCAGUCGGAGAUUGCCAAGCUCGCACGGAUCAACCAUGCUUUGUGAGCAACCGCCUCCAGGAAUUUCAGUCCUUCUAACAAUAGGUCCAAUGAUUGCUCCUGUCUUUGUUUUCUGCAUCUUUGUUGCAAGAAAAUUGAUGGAUGAUGUAAGGAUGAUUUUAAUGGCAAUUGGGGAAUCGAAAUUAUGGCUCUAGUAGUUGUUUCAUGCUAUUUGUAAGUCCUGCAAUUUUCAUUUUCAUGAAUUUUAUGUUUGUUUCUCAUUGUUCUACUAUUUCAACCUAUGAAUUCUCACAAUUGUUGUCUCCAAAAUUUGUAGCAGUAUAAUAUCUUAGUUAUUUAUUUUUUUUUUUUUAUGAACAAUUUUAAAGCCCUGUAGAACUCUGCGAUGUUUGACUUGCUACUUCAAGAUGAACAAAUGAUUUACUAUUUGUCAUCCGAUUUCUAUUUUCUCUCUCUUUUAUUAACACAUUGACAUUUCUAACCAAAGCAAAUUAAGUUACUUGUUGAUUUUCUUCAAGUUGAAUAUUACAUGGGUAUAGUAUUUUGCUUAUACUUAUUUAUGGUGACAUAGUUUUGAAAUGUUAAUCUGAUUGUUUAGCAUACACGAGUGGCUAUAUACUAUUUGAAUUCUUUUCACUGCAUAAAUCUCUUUACUUUCGUUGGUUUUUUGUUUGAAUCCACUCCCCAUAUAUCAUUCUUCCUCGUUCCCAUGAUAAUUUUUGACAACUUAUUGCAAAUUCGUUCUUGCUGAUAUGACGUUGAUUCUUUAAAACCUUUCGAAGAAUGUUAUAAUGCAAUAACUCUAAUAUGCUUCAUCUCUUUCUUCAACUAAUUUUUAAUUUAUUGCACAACUUAAGUAUAGCUGUCUAUUCAUUAUUUUAGGUCUUUGCUAGAUGGCAUAGAGUGCUUAAGCUGUUGUUUUGUGCCAAGCAAUAUAGCACAAGAAUAGAAGUUUGGGCAGGAAAAACACUAGUGAGGAAGUCGAAGAGAUAGACAAUCGGAGGUGUUGGUGGAAACAUCUGGCAACGACGACUGCAACUAUUGGUGUAGGCAUUGACUUCUUCCAGCAAUAGAGAUUGAAAAAAACAAAGCUUAUUCUCCUAUUGGGAUCUUCAAUGAGUGGAGGUCAAUGGGUUAGCUAAGUUGCUAGAUGAUGUGGCGGUGAAUUGAAUUAAAGAUACUUGAGGUUUUGAAUGGUGUUUUGUCGGUAAAUUGACUCAAAACGCUUGGCAAUAAAUGGAGAAAGUAAAGAGACAAU